Molecule: ribosomal RNA, 426 nt
Filed under: uncultured prokaryote
Description: bacterial SSU rRNA
Rfam family: Bacterial small subunit ribosomal RNA
Source: RNAcentral
UUAGGAAUCUUGCGCAAUGGGCGAAAGCCUGACGCAGCAACGCCACGUGCGGGAUGACGGCCUUCGGGUUGUAAACCGCUUUCAGUGGGGACGAAACCAGACGGUACCUACAGAAGAAGCCCCGGCCAACUACGUGCCAGCAGCCGCGGUAAUACGUAGGGGGCAAGCGUUGUCCGGAAUCAUUGGGCGUAAAGAGCUCGUAGGCGGCUCAGUAAGUCGGGUGUAAAAGCUCCAGGCUCAACCUGGAGACGCCACCCGAUACUGCUGUGGCUAGAGUCCAGUAGAGGAGUGUGGAACUCCCAGUGUAGCGGUGAAAUGCGCAGAUAUUGGGAAGAACACCAGCGGCGAAGGCCGCACUCUGGGCUGGUACUGACGCUGAGGAGCGAAAGCGUGGGUAGCAAACAGGAUUAGAUACCCCUGUAGUCC